RNAcentral lists this small nuclear RNA (103 nucleotides) under Notamacropus eugenii (tammar wallaby). Lineage: Eukaryota; Metazoa; Chordata; Mammalia; Diprotodontia; Macropodidae. The record is from RNAcentral.
AUACUCACUUUGGAAGCACAUAUACUAACCCUGGAACAGUACAGGAAGAUUAGCAUGGCCCCAAGGAUAACACACGCACAUUCAUGAGGCGCUUCCUAUUUUU